RNAcentral lists this long non-coding RNA (386 nucleotides) under Theobroma cacao (cacao). Its description in RNAcentral is "long non-coding RNA (TCAC_LNC001477)". Lineage: Eukaryota; Viridiplantae; Streptophyta; Magnoliopsida; Malvales; Malvaceae. The record is from RNAcentral.
UGAAAAGGGGCCAAAAUAACAUAAACGAGAAAGGCAGCUAAAGCUAAGAACAGAAAUAAAGCAUCCACCGAAUUACAAGAAGAUAAUAACGGGAUUACGUAGAACUGAUACAUCCUUAAAAUCCGUGUUUGACAACUGGCAGCCUUUUCCCGUUUUCACCUUUCUUUUCUUUGCAGCUCACCGACACAACGGCAUUUCGGACACAGACCAAGGGGGGCCAUUGUCGUCAUUUCUGCUUACAAUUCCCAUGGGGACCGUUACGACAGUGUCUUAUACCAUGAUACCGAUGUAGGAGGGUAUUUCGGUCAUGAACACACGUGAUCGCCUCGUGACUCCACUGAACUUUGUUUUCACGAAUCCCCCACGUUCCAUUUUGGAGCGUGACU